This 245-nucleotide small RNA is filed under the name Nomascus leucogenys (northern white-cheeked gibbon). RNAcentral describes it as "Metazoan signal recognition particle RNA (ENSNLEG00000033804.1)". The record is from RNAcentral. Lineage: Eukaryota; Metazoa; Chordata; Mammalia; Primates; Hylobatidae.
GCCUAGUACAGUUCUAACACCUGUAUUCUCAGCACUUGUGAGGCCAAGGCAGGUGGAUCGCUUGAGUUCAGGAGUUUGAUACCAGCCUGGGCAACAUGGCGAAACCCCGUCUCUACUAAAAAUACAAAAAAAUUAGCCCGGGGGGCCAAAUUCUGGCUAAUUUUUGUAUUUUUAGUAGAGACGGGGUUUCGCCAUGUUGCCCAGGCUGGUAUCAAACUCCUGAACUCAAGCGAUCCACCUGCCUU